Molecule: ribosomal RNA, 497 nt
Filed under: uncultured marine bacterium
Lineage: Bacteria
Description: bacterial SSU rRNA
Rfam family: Bacterial small subunit ribosomal RNA
Source: RNAcentral
UCCUGAUCUAGCCAUGCCGCGUGAGUGAUGAAGGCCCUAGGGUCGUAAGGCUCUUUCAACUGUGAAGGUAAUGACGGUAGCAGUAGAAGAAACCCCGGCUAACUCCGUGCCAGCAGCCGCGGUAAUACGGAGGGGGUUAGCGUUGUUCGGAAUUACUGGGCGUAAAGCGUACGUAGGCGGAUUAAUAAGUUAGAGGUGAAAUCCCAGGGCUCAACCCUGGAACUGCCUUUAAAACUGUUAGUCUUGAGAUCGAGAGAGGUGAGUGGAAUUCCAAGUGUAGAGGUGAAAUUCGUAGAUAUUUGGAGGAACACCAGUGGCGAAGGCGGCUCACUGGCUCGAUACUGACGCUGAGGUACGAAAGUGUGGGGAGCAAACAGGAUUAGAUACCCUGGUAGUCCACACCGUAAACGAUGAAUGCCAGACGUCAGCAAGCAUGCUUGUUGGUGUCACACCUAACGGAUUAAGCAUUCCGCCUGGGGAGUACGGUCGCAAGAUUA